GGUUUGUCGCGUUGUUCGUGAAAUCUCACGGCUUAACUGUGAGCGUGCGGGCGAUACGGGCAGACUUGAGUACUGCAGGGGAGACUGGAAUUCCUGGUGUAGCGGUGGAAUGCGCAGAUAUCAGGAGGAACACCGGUGGCGAAGGCGGGUCUCUGGGCAGUAACUGACGCUGAGGAGCGAAAGCGUGGGGAGCGAACAGGAUUAGAUACCCUGGUAGUCCACGCCGUAAACGGUGGGUACUAGGUGUGGGUUUCCUUCCUUGGGAUCCGUGCCGUAGCUAACGCAUUAAGUACCCCGCCUGGGGAGUACGGCCGCAAGGCUAAAACUCAAAGAAAUUGACGGGGGCCCGCACAAGCGGCGGAGCAUGUGGAUUAAUUCGAUGCAACGCGAAGAACCUUACCUGGGUUUGACAUGCACAGGACGCCGGCAGAGAUGUCGGUUCCCUUGUGGCCUGUGUGCAGGUGGUGCAUGGCUGUCGUCAGCUCGUGUCGUGAGAUGUUGGGUUAAGUCCCGCAACGAGCGCAACCCUUGUCUCAUGUUGCCAGCGGGUAAUGCCGGGGACUCGUGAGAGACUGCCGGGGUCAACUCGGAGGAAGGUGGGGAUGACGUCAAGUCAUCAUGCCCCUUAUGUCCAGGGCUUCACACAUGCUACAAUGGCCGGUACAAAGGGCUGCGAUGCCGCGAGGUUAAGCGAAUCCUUUUAAAGCCGGUCUCAGUUCGGAUCGGGGUCUGCAACUCGACCCCGUGAAGUCGGA
RNAcentral lists this ribosomal RNA (755 nucleotides) under uncultured bacterium. Its description in RNAcentral is "bacterial SSU rRNA". It matches the Rfam family "Bacterial small subunit ribosomal RNA", at positions 577 to 1330 of the family's 1533-position model. The record is from RNAcentral.